AACGAACGCUGGCGGCAUGCCUAACACAUGCAAGUCGAACGAGACCUUCGGGUCUAGUGGCGCACGGGUGCGUAACGCGUGGGAAUCUGCCCUUGGGUUCGGAAUAACAGUUGGAAACGACUGCUAAUACCGGAUGAUGACGUAAGUCCAAAGAUUUAUCGCCCAGGGAUGAGCCCGCGUAGGAUUAGCUAGUUGGUGGGGUAAAGGCCUACCAAGGCGACGAUCCUUAGCUGGUCUGAGAGGAUGAUCAGCCACACUGGGACUGAGACACGGCCCAGACUCCUACGGGAGGCAGCAGUGGGGAAUAUUGGAAAAUGGGCGAAAGCCUGAUCCAGCAAUGCCGCGUGAGUGAUGAAGGCCUUAGGGUUGUAAAGCUCUUUUACCCGGGAUGAUAAUGACAGUACCGGGAGAAUAAGCCCCGGCUAACUCCGUG
Molecule: ribosomal RNA, 433 nt
Filed under: uncultured bacterium
Lineage: Bacteria
Description: partial 16S ribosomal RNA
Rfam family: Bacterial small subunit ribosomal RNA
Source: RNAcentral